GACGAACGCUGGCGGUAUGCUUAACACAUGCAAGUCGAACGACGUGGCGAACGGGGGAGUAAUACGUGGGUGACCUGCCCUCCUUUUUGGGAUAAGCCUUGGCAACGGGGACUAAUACCGAAUAAAGGGGGAUGGGCUUGGGGCCUAUCAGCUUGUUGGGGGGGUGCUGGCCUACGAAGGCGGUGACGGGUAGCCGGCCUGGGAGGGGGACCGGCCACAUUGGGCCGUAGAUACUCCUCAGAGUCCCACGGGUGGCAGCAUGGGCGGAUAUGGCGCAAGGGGCGAAAGCCUGUUGCAGGGACGCCGCGUGGGGGAUGAAGGCGUUCGGGUUGUAAACCGGUUUCGCUAUCGAACGGGUAGGUGGAGAAGAAGCGCCGGCUAACUACGUGCCAGCAGCCGCGGUAAUUC
RNAcentral lists this ribosomal RNA (408 nucleotides) under uncultured bacterium. RNAcentral's name for it is "partial 16S ribosomal RNA". It matches the Rfam family "Bacterial small subunit ribosomal RNA", at positions 28 to 526 of the family's 1533-position model. The record is from RNAcentral.